Molecule: RNA transcript, 1987 nt
Organism: Pongo pygmaeus (Bornean orangutan)
Lineage: Eukaryota; Metazoa; Chordata; Mammalia; Primates; Hominidae
Gene: LELP1
Gene name: late cornified envelope like proline rich 1
Exons: 7
Source: RefSeq, a predicted model, not a curated record
ACAUCAUGCCAGGAACACAUCCUUGCAUCCUCAGCCAGCCGCAAAAGGGAGCCACCACCCCUGCCAGCAAAAUGUCUUCUGCAAGGAGACCCUCCUCCAAUUGUUCCUUUCCAGAGCAUAGCUCUGACUGGUAGAGCCUCCGUCAUAGGGCGCACCCUGACUGCAAAACAGACUGUGAGAUUUACUUUCUGGGUUCUACCUUGGGAAGAAGGAAUACAAGUCUGUAAAAUAGUCCAUACAUAGUGACAGUGUGCAAAGAGUACUGGAAAGCAAGGGAAAAGAUUACACAUAUUUGCUACAAGCCCAAAUUAUCACUGGUUUUAGAUCCAGGCAAGUUGAGACAACACCUGCAGUGUCAGCCAAUAUUUGAAGCAUCUGUCAUGUCAUCAAGUUUUGCUAGAUGAAAAUGACCUGGAUUUUUAAAAAAAGAAAGAAACAAAAGAAAAGAAAGAGGAAACACUUAAUACCUCAGGCAGCAGGCUGUACCCUAGAGUAAGACAUUUUAUGUUUUUCAUGGCUUAUGACUCCAGCUAGAAUCUCCUAUAGAAUUCUAAAUAGAAAUGAAUAUAAUGAAUAUCCUUGUCUCAUUCCAAUCUCUGGGUGUAUCAUCAACACAGGAAAGAUGACCUAGCAGCAGCUGCAGCAGUGCCAGAUUCCCUGCCAGUCCCCUCCUGGGCCCCCAAGCCCUGCUCUGUACCCCACAGCUGGCAGAAGUGGACUUCCUCCCCAUGCUAACAGGAAUACCACCAAAGCCAAAGAGGAUCUUCUGAAGCCUCCCUUCCCCCCAGCUUCUAGGCAGUACGUUGCUCCCUGCACCCUCUCCAAUCUCUUUCUUCCAGAAUCACAAAGCCCAGAAAUUACCUUUCAUCUACUGAAAGAGAAAGAUACCUUCAUAGACCAACAAUCUGAGAGCAGUUCAUCAACGGUCUCCUCCCGGCUCCUCCUCCAGACAACACCAAGGCUUGGACACGUGGGCCGUGUUUCAGGCAUCUUUCAUGAACAGCAGACCUGCUCUCCAUUCUCUAUUUUGACACUGUGUGGUCAGGACCAGUCAGUUCAUCCAACUGUUGCCUCCACCACCACUACUGCCACCUGCUGGCUCAAGAAGGCAUCUCAAGAGGUGAAGAUGAGGAAUACCAGCCAAGAGAAGCUGUUGGAGAGCUUGCCAAUGCCUAGGCGCUACAGGAGUCAUGCACAGCUAGACAAAGCAGACACGCCUGUCAUACUAAAGAACUGUGGCCAACACCCAGCCAGCAGGGAGAGGAGAGUCUGUGAAGAACACAUUCAAGUUCUCCAUGGGAGAAAGCCCCUACCCAAAUGGACAAGAGGCAGCUGGGGCUUGCUGUGCUGGGAGCUAUGGAGUCACACAACAAUCGCCCCUCGAUGAUGCUGCAAUGACCUCAUAAGUGGAGGUCAUUGCCCCUGCCCCCACCCCCAGCUUCCUCAGAUCUGGGCAGAGGAACCAGAGGGAAAAUCCACCUUCCCAGGCACAGCCAUAACAUCCACCUCACUCAACUGCUUGUCAAGUUCACCACCAACACAGAGAGGGCUCAGAUAAUCAAGAAACAAUGUCAAGUGAUGAUAAAAGUAAAUCAAAUGACCCCAAGACUGAACCCAAGAACUGCGAUCCCAAGUGUGAACAAAAGUGUGAGUCCAAAUGCCAGCCCAGCUGUUUAAAGAAGCUGCUGCAACGCUGCUCCGAAAAGUGCCCACGGGAAAAGUGUCCAUCACCACCCAAGUGCCCGCCCUGCCCCUCGCAGUCUCCUUCGUCCUGCCCCCCCAAGCUCUGCACCAAGCCCUGUCCUCCUAAAUGCCCUUCGUCCUGCCCACCUGCUUGCCCACCUCCCUGCCCUCCCCCAGAGUGAGGCACUGGGGGCACUACCCAACCCCACCACCACUGCCACCUCCACCAUGUACAACACUGUGGGGCUGGAGACUGAAACCAUGAACUGACAAGUAAACGUGUUCCUCUGCUGUGCAAGACCGC